Long non-coding RNA from Harpia harpyja (harpy eagle), 2287 nucleotides. RefSeq lists it as uncharacterized. Lineage: Eukaryota; Metazoa; Chordata; Aves; Accipitriformes; Accipitridae. The record is from RefSeq and is a predicted model, not a curated record. The transcript has 3 exons.
UUUUAGAAAGCAGUUGAUGAAGAAGGAAAGUGUUAGAAAUAUGUAAAUUAAUGAAAGGCUGAGCCAGCAUUUCUAUGCUUUUUAUUGUACAGCUGAAGAACUUAACUGAAAGGUGGAAAACAUGAACCUACCACAGGGAAACAGCUUUUCACAUAAGGCAUAAUUGGUCCGUGGAACUCAUUUCCACUGCCUGCUACUGAAACCAAGGAACAGGCUCUAGACAGGAAUGAUUGGCUUAAAGAGCUGUUUUUCCCUUGUCUGAUUGGGAAGCUGGUGUGAUGCAAUGUGGUGAUGUCCCAGUAUUGGGACAAAUGGAAAAGUUGCUGUUUGUUAUUUUGGGGCAAUUUAGGAAGUGGGUGGUGGGUUCUUAACUACUGAGACAGCUGACAUCCAUCAGGACCUGUGAGACUGGAAGCCAGUUUUAAUUAAGGUAAUUGUGGGGUGGGUUGGCACAAAGCAUCCGGUGCUGAUCCAGCACAGCCUGAAACCUCGAUCAGGUUUGGUCCCACAUUCAAGCUAAGAGGCCAUCGAAAUUUUGGAGCGCUGAGGAACACGGUGCAGGGACUUAACGUGGGCUUUUGUGCUCGCACACUGGACUGGAAACAGCAUGGCUAACCCUAGCGCAGGUGGUGCUGUGCUCUAACUAAGAAACCUUGCUGCACCCAAGCUGGCUCUACUUUAUAGCUUGGGUAAACCAAUACAGCGUUAACAGAUGUGACUAGUUCAUGGGUUCAGCACCCAAAGGUCCUCUGCCUCCAUCUCCCUUGUCUUGUCCCCUGACCUCUGCAUCCCCAGUUUCUCAGUGCCCUGCGUGUUCUUACCUCCCUGCUUUUGUUUUGCCCAUCUUCUUUUUUUCACAGCUACGUAGAAUAGAGCACCACAGCAUACGCUAUUGCUGGUCUGUGAAAAAGAGGAAAUGCAGUGCUUGAAAAUGGGGUGAAGUUGGGGAAUAAAUCCUAUGAGCCAAUUCAGCUGUUGGAUUAUCUGUUAGCUAAUGCCUCUAGAGAGCUCAGGGAAGCUGGAGCCCACAUUCAGUUACCUCUUCCUGGGAAACCUCUCCUGCUUCCCAGACCAGUACCCUACCUACCAAACCAUAAGGAAUCUAAUUAGGCUUUGAGACCCUCGGGUAGUCUGCAGGGAAUCAGAAAACCAUGGACUGCACAAUGUAUAGGAGUUGAAGGCACUCCUACACUAAUUUAAAAAUAGUAAACUGGAGCAAGGUAAGUAUCACAGAGUGAUGUGAAAAAGUACAUUGAUAGAAAAUAAGGAAUAGAAUAUGUGAUGAAGAUUGACAUCACAAGUGAAAAAAGAAGAGGGGAAAAAAAAUAACAUAAAAUAAUGGAAGAUGCAAAGCGAUCAGGGAGCACCGAGAGAGAGACAGGAAUGGAAAGUUGGUGACAGAUGAAGUUGAUAAGGCAAAGGGCCUAGAGGAAUUCCUUGCCCCAGUAAUCACAGAGGCAGCAGAAGGCAAUAUCCCAGGAACUGGGAUUUGUUUUCCUCAGGGAAGGAAGGAAAAUGUCAGAAGGUUUUACUCUUGCACUGGAGUGGAUAAUAAGGCAAUUAGUACUAUUAAAAGUUGUCAGCGCACCCAGACUGGAGUGAUAGAUCACAUCCUAGGAUUGUAAAGGGCGAGGGAGAUGCCGAAAAGCUUUUGUGGAGCAGUUGUGAUAACUUAACUGGAAAGGGAAUUAUUGAGAACUGGUGAGUGUUUAAUGAAGUUCACACUGAAAAAUGAGGGAGCACUGCAAUCCCGGCAUUUACAGAUCUGUAAGCUUGGCUUCACUUCUGCAGGAGAAACUAAAUACUGGUGAGUCACGGCUGUGCACAUUUAUAAGUGGCAAAAUGAAUAUAUUAUUAAAAAUACAUUGUUUUACCAUACAUACCAUGGGAGAAGUACAUACAAUACAAAUGAUUUGGAAUCUGUUGUACAAAAGAUUUAUGCAAAUAAUCUCUGCUAAUAGGAUUUCUCAGUGCAAAUCCUUUCUUGUCAAUAUGAGAAGAGGUCUUGUCAAUGUUAUGCUCAUGAUUUACCUUUCCAAAUAAUAUGUUUUAUAGACGAGGUAACUGCUAACUGUUCGCAAAACUCUGUAAAUAUGUGAAUUAUGCAGUUUAUCAUCCGCAGGUUGAAUAAGAAGGGAGAGGAAUACAAAUUCUCCGUAUGCUAUACCUCCACACGCCUUCCUUUGUCGGGUCUCCACACCUUUUUAUUGCUUGAUCUAUUUUAGAUAGGAACGUGAUUCCUUUAUGAAAUAGUUUGACUGCUGCCAAUAAAAAUAAAAUAAAAACA